This 68-nucleotide transfer RNA is filed under the name Gracilariophila oryzoides. RNAcentral describes it as "tRNA-Glu". It matches the Rfam family "tRNA". From Rfam's summary of the family: Transfer RNA (tRNA) molecules are approximately 80 nucleotides in length. Their secondary structure includes four short double-helical elements and three loops (D, anti-codon, and T loops). Further hydrogen bonds mediate the characteristic L-shaped molecular structure. tRNAs have two regions of fundamental functional importance: the anti-codon, which is responsible for specific mRNA codon recognition, and the 3' end, to which the tRNAs corresponding amino acid is attached (by aminoacyl-tRNA synthetases). tRNAs cope with the degeneracy of the genetic code in two manners: having more than one tRNA (with a specific anti-codon) for a particular amino acid; and 'wobble' base-pairing, i.e. permitting non-standard base-pairing at the 3rd anti-codon position. The record is from RNAcentral. Lineage: Eukaryota; Rhodophyta; Florideophyceae; Gracilariales; Gracilariaceae.
AUCGUUUAAAGGUUUUAGGACAAUGCUUUUUCGUAGCAUAAAUGUGGGUUCGAAUCCCACUAGGAGUA